Molecule: long non-coding RNA, 297 nt
Filed under: Homo sapiens (human)
Lineage: Eukaryota; Metazoa; Chordata; Mammalia; Primates; Hominidae
Description: HSALNT0015396
Source: RNAcentral
UUUUCUGUCAAGAUUGAGGAGGAAGAAGCCAGAGUUUAAAGAUCUCAGAGAGAGCCGAGGCAUAGCCAUCUAUGAAGGGUGGCAGGGAGGACCGCUGGCCCAGGGCAGCCCCAGGACCAGGCAGAGAGCCCCCGCCACACCCAGCCCCUCCUCACCCUGAUAUACUGAGGACACUCGGUCUCUAGCAAUUUCUUCAGCUCGGUCAACAUGAUGCCCACGGACUUGCCCCACCUGAAAAACAGAACCUUCUGGGGAAUCCCAUGGCAGGGAAUUUGCAUCUGGCCAGGGCAGUACGCA